RNAcentral lists this small nuclear RNA (57 nucleotides) under Propithecus coquereli (Coquerel's sifaka). Lineage: Eukaryota; Metazoa; Chordata; Mammalia; Primates; Indriidae. The record is from RNAcentral.
GUGCUCGCUUCGGAAGCACAUAUACUAAAAUUGGGAUGAUACAGAGAAGAUUAGCAU